Non-coding RNA from Acanthosepion pharaonis, 108 nucleotides. The record is from the annotation of a GenBank genome assembly. NCBI's taxonomy places the organism in Eukaryota, Metazoa, Mollusca, Cephalopoda, Sepiida, Sepiidae.
UACAGCCACAGCUUGUUGAAACACCAGUCCCUGUAUGAUUGCCACAGUUAAGCAAUGUCAAGCCUGGUCAGUACUUAGAUGGGUAACCACUUGAGAACACCAGGUGUG